This 398-nucleotide ribosomal RNA is filed under the name uncultured bacterium. Its description in RNAcentral is "bacterial SSU rRNA". It matches the Rfam family "Bacterial small subunit ribosomal RNA", at positions 28 to 431 of the family's 1533-position model. The record is from RNAcentral.
GACGAACGCUGGCGGCGUGCUUAACACAUGCAAGUCGAGCGGUAAGGCCCUUUCGGGGGUACACGAGCGGCGAACGGGUGAGUAACACGUGGGUGACCUGCCCUCAGCUCUGGGAUAAGCCUGGGAAACUGGGUCUAAUACUGGAUAUGACUCCACGGUGCAUGUCGUGGGGUGGAAAGCCUUGUGCGGCUGAGGAUGGGCCCGCGGCCUAUCAGCUUGUUGGUGGGGUGANGGCCUACCAAGGCGACGACGGGUAGCCGGCCCGAGAGGGCGACCGGCCACACUGGGACUGAGAUACGGCCCAGACUCCUACGGGAGGCAGCAGUGGGGAAUCUUGCGCAAUGGGCGAAAGCCUGACGCAGCGACGCCGCGUGAGGGAUGACGGCCUGGUGUAACGU